UGGCUCAGAGGUUUAAGCGUCUGCCUGGAAUGCAGGAGACCCGGGUUUGAUCCCUGG
RNAcentral lists this transfer RNA (57 nucleotides) under Bos taurus (domestic cattle). Lineage: Eukaryota; Metazoa; Chordata; Mammalia; Artiodactyla; Bovidae. RNAcentral also lists the same sequence under 2 other names. The record is from Rfam by way of RNAcentral.